CAAAAACCUCCAGAUGAACAGAUGUCAAACAGUGUUUGUGACAGGAAGAGAGCAGUAAACCACAGCCCAGCAGGUUUCCUGUUGUUCCACACAGUGAGAACAAAGGAGCAACACAGAAGCACAAUGAUACAACAAGAUGAAGACAAACAAACAACAAUAUAACACAAAUAAAAGAGCCAAAUAAUGGAGAGAUCAAAAGUGAAACUUUAUUAACAUUUGAUUUAAUAACAAAAAU
Long non-coding RNA from Thunnus maccoyii (southern bluefin tuna), 235 nucleotides. RefSeq lists it as uncharacterized. NCBI's taxonomy places the organism in Eukaryota, Metazoa, Chordata, Actinopteri, Scombriformes, Scombridae. The record is from RefSeq and is a predicted model, not a curated record. The transcript has 2 exons.